AGCCUCCCGUAUCCGCGCUGAGAUUUCGUCAGCGAUCAACCCGUUGGGGCUGAUGCAACUCCCCAAGCAAGUGAAGUG
RNAcentral lists this microRNA precursor (78 nucleotides) under Trichobilharzia regenti. RNAcentral describes it as "mir-3492 microRNA precursor family". It matches the Rfam family "mir-3492 microRNA precursor family". The record is from Rfam by way of RNAcentral. Lineage: Eukaryota; Metazoa; Platyhelminthes; Trematoda; Strigeidida; Schistosomatidae.